AUGUGUCUGCAAAGAACUAUCAACCAUAUCGUACACCUCUCCCACCUUUACCACACAAUCUGCCUCACAAUGUCUUCUUCCUCCUUGCGCACGCUGCAAGAAAGCGGUGCCAAAAUCAACCAGGAGCUCUACCAGAAGUUCACCAACGUGGUGUCCUCCUUGCCGUGCUCCCCGGCUCUCACCAGGCACCCGCUCUACCGCCAUGACAAUGGCUGGUAUGCCGCCCUGGCGCCAAUGGUCUCCACAAUGGUCGCGGACGCAUGCUUCUCGGCGCGUCCCUCGGACAUCGUCAUUGCCACAAUGCCGAAGUCCGGCACAACGUGGAUAAAAGCAAUGCUUUACUCCACGGUGCACAGAAGAGAGCACCCCGCAGACGGCCCCGACCACCCGCUCAACUCACUCGGCCCACAUGAGUGCGUCAAGCUCCUGGAGUACCAGCUCUACAUACGGAACAGGAUCCCGAACCUCGACGGGCUUCCUGACCCUAGGCUCUUCGCUGCGCAUGCCCCGUUGGUGUCGCUGCCGAGGUCUGUCAUGAGGAUGGGCUGCAAAAUCGUGUACGUGUGCCGUGACCCCAAGGACGCCUUGAUCUCACACUGGAACUUCGUGAACAAGUUCAGGGCCAGGGACGGGUUGGAGGCGCUCUCGGUCGAGACCGCCGCCGAUUUUUUCUGUGAUGGUGUGACGUUGUUCGGGCCGUACUGGGAUCAUGUCCUCGGGUACUGGCGGGCUCAUCAGGUGCACCCUCAGAAGGUUCUCUUCUUCAGGUACGAAGAGAUGAUUGGGGACCCUGCGGCACACGUGCGGAAGCUGGCGCAAUUCGUUGGCCGCCCGUUCUGCAUGGAGGAGGAAGAGGCUGGCGCGGUAGAAGCCAUCGUAAGGUUGUGCUCGUUUGAGCACAUGACUGGGCUCGACGUGGCCAAGCAUGGCGUGACAGAGCUCGUUGUCAGCAUGGCGGAGAAUAGUUGGUUCUUCCGGCGUGGCCAGGUCGGGGACUGGGAGAACUAUCUGUCGCGAGAGACGGCAAGGAGGAUCGACGCCAUUACCGAGGCCAGGUUCAAGGGUUCUGGCCUCCGUGUAUAG
This 1083-nucleotide ribosomal RNA is filed under the name Triticum aestivum (bread wheat). RNAcentral describes it as "partial small subunit ribosomal RNA". The record is from RNAcentral. Lineage: Eukaryota; Viridiplantae; Streptophyta; Magnoliopsida; Poales; Poaceae.